UAUUUAUUUGAGAGAGAGACAGAUAGUGAGAGAAAGUAAAAACAAACAAGGAAAGCUAGUUCUUGAACAAGCUAGUUCAGGGUAUAUUGUAUCUAGUAG
Molecule: long non-coding RNA, 99 nt
Organism: Lontra canadensis (Northern American river otter)
Lineage: Eukaryota; Metazoa; Chordata; Mammalia; Carnivora; Mustelidae
Exons: 3
Source: RefSeq, a predicted model, not a curated record